GAUCCAAUGCCCUCUUCCCGUGUGUUGACGACAGCCACAGUGUACUCAUAUAUAUAUAAUAAGUAAUUUUUUAAAAAAAAGUAUAUAAAGAAAAUAUCUAAUUAAAAAAAAAAACAAAAAAAAAAAAAAAAAAAACAAGCAGUGACACCUCCGGCAUCAUUGGUGGCCCAGUUCAGUCCUGUAUUGUAACAGGACUCAGGUCAUCUGGUGGAGGGUAUGCUUGUUCUGUCAAAUUGGAAAUCUCAAAUUUGGCAGCUUGUCUGUGUUUCUUCUUGAUUUUAUAAAAGGCCUGGACAUGAAAUUUAGGGUUUGGCAUGUGCUAGGCAAAUACUUUGUUGUUAAGCUAUACAUGCCUAGCCCUCCUUUACUGAAAGCAUUUUAUUGUGUGUGUGUGUUUUGUUUGCAUGUAUGCCCAUUUGCCAUGUGUAUGCAGUGUCCUGGAGUCCAGAAGGUGUCAGAUCCCCUGGGCCUGGGGUUACAUAUGGUUGUGAGCUGCUAUGUUUGUUCUAAGCAUCUAAUCUAGGACCCUGGAGCAGCAACCAUUGAUCUUAAUCACUGAGCCAUUUCCAGCCCUGAAACUGUUUGUUUGUUUGUUUUAAAGGUAGGGUCUCAUGAUCUCAGGCUGAUCUUCCUGUCUUCACCUCCCAAGUACAGGGAUUAUAGGCGCGUGCAACUAUGUAUAAUGUACUGAGGAUUGAAUGUAGAGUGUCAUGUGUGAUAGACACGUGUUCUGCCAACUGAGCUAUUAUGCCCCCAGUACUGAUUUGUUUAAAAAAGCUUUUUAUUUUCUUCUAUGACCUCUAUUUUACUGCUGACCAGCAGUUUAGAUUUAUCCUUUUAAUUCUUUUGCUCAGAUAUAUUUAGGAGUAAGUAUACUGUGGUAAUCAGGUAAAAUCAAAAAGAUGUUUAAUAAUACAUACUGCUAUGUGAAUAGUGAGGUAACAAUUUAUGAAUAGUCCUGAAGAUAAUUAUCUCUAAAAGUUGUAUAUCUUGCUUACAUUGAGAUUAUAUUUUCUAUAAUAAAAUUAAUUUUAAUAGGUAAGUAGUUGUUUUUUAAAUGAAGUGUACCUUCUGAAAAUAUAGUCUUGAUUUUUGGGGUGUGUUCUUUUGAAAGUGCUUAGGCUGUGGGAGUAGUGAGGCUCAGGGAGGAUGGAGAUUCCUUCAGGCGACAGUGCACAGAUACUCUGUUGCCUUCAGGUCAUGAAAGAUAACUUUUAGUGGUGGUUUUUGAGUCAGUCUUAGCAGUGGUGAUACUGGAAUCAAAAUCAAGCCUGUGCCAUGGGUGGCCCCAGGAAGCUAGGUUCAGCCAUUCCUCUUUGGUAAGCCAGUCAAAAGAGCCAAAUUAAUAGCAAAAAGCAGAGAGGGGGGACAUUUAUUCAGUGUGUCACAUUGGGAAGAAGGGCAAAGAGAGCGAGCAACACCCUGAGUCCCUCUUUAGUACUCUGACAUGAGGUUGAGGUCUAAGUAGAGGGCCGGCCAGAGUUCUCUAUGCAACCAAUCAGUCUCUGUCAAGGUGAAUUCUUGCCUAUUAUUAUCUGCCUUCAGUCUCAUCCUACAAGGUGGUCUGAGAAAUUGCUAGAACUGUGCUGGCACCAGGCUUCAGUGCUUUUCUUUUCCGAGCAUGAGAUUCCUGGAGGAUCUUUCAAUUCCCUGGGUUCUGAUGUUCCCAGUAGUGGCAUAGCUAAAGGGGAAACUAAAGUUUCUCUUUGAAGCAUUCUCAUUUCUGGACCAGGAAGUUGGUUCUGUAGGUAAAGACUUGUCCAUCAAACUUGACAACUUGAGUUAAUUUUCUAGAAUGUGCAUGGUAGAGAGGACUAACUCCUCUCCUGCAAGGUGUCCUCUGACCUCCAUCUGGUGUGUGCAUGAACACACACGGUUAAUGUAAAAAGAAAACUGGAUGUAGUAAUGUCUCAUGCCUUUCAUCUCAGUUCUUAGGAGUCUGGAUGUAUCUCUCUGAGUUGGAAAACAGCCUGAUCUACAUAGCAGGUUUCAGGACAUCACGAGAUACAUAGUGAUAAAAAACAAAGCUAAAUCAAAACAGCACCAACAAAAAAGCUUUAGAAAAAUUUCUCUUUCAUUUUAGGCAUUAUGGUUACACUGAUGAAUAGAUGUAUAAUCAGAGUCUAGCAAGUUUCCCUCCUACCCUUUUUGAUGAGGUCUUAACCCUGUAGCUUAGGCUGGCCUGGAGCUCUCCAUGUAGAUUAGCAGUCUUACCUUGGCCCCUUAGAGGCCUGUCACCAUGACGGGCUUCAAGAGCCAACAUGACCCCUGAGUGCCCAGCUUGGGGAUUUAAUAUGGAGUGUGUAUGCUAGGUGAGCUCUCUAUCCAUAGCUAUUAUCUCUAGCUUCAGAACCUACUUGUCAGGUCUCUGAAGACUUACUUCAAUAAGCUUAAAAUGUUGGUAACCUUUUUAUUAUGUUUCUAGAGUUCAGCAUUCAAAAUACAGGCUUUCAGAUGCUUUAAAUAUAUAUAUGGGUGUUUUGCCUGCAUGUAUGUGUACCAUGUGAUGCAGUGCCUUGGAAGGCCAGAAGAGGGCAUCAGAACUCCUGGGGCUGAAUGGUGUUCCUGGGAGUAUUGGGACUCAAACCUGGGUCCUCUGCCAGAGAAGCCAGUGCUCUUCACCAUCCAGCCAUACGAGGGGACAUUAGACCUAGAUCCAGGAAAGGAUCAUAGAAAUUAUUUCAUUGGAGGGGUACUCUGCAUAGUGAGUCAUUUGGUUUUAGAAUUUGAAAGAGAGACUUUUGUUGCUAAGAGAGGGUCUCAUGUAUUCUAGGCUUGCCUACAACUCAUGAUUUUCCAGUUUCUACCUUUCAGGUGCUUGCUGAGAUUAUAGGAAUGGGCCACAAAGCCAGGAGGGGCUAAUUUUACUGGGUGGAACACAACCUUCUCCUGUCUGAUAGGGUAGGGGGCUGGGAUUUGAUUAGCAUUUAAGUCUCUUCAGUCCCCUAAAAAUAGGAAUCAUAUGAGAUUCCUAUUUUUUUUUCUUUGGAAGAGGAAGUCCACUCAUCAGAGCGACCAUGGUGGCAUUGGCUACUUCACUUGCGUGAGUCACAUGUUCAGCUGUGUAUCGAGGCUGCUAUUGGCCUCUUCAGGACCUGGAGUCUUCAUAGCAAGCCGCUGCUUACUAGCUUUGCUUUCUUGUAGAACUUACAAUACAACAUGCUUUUUAUUAAUGUGGUUUUCCUUCUCUUUUUGCAGUGAUUAUUUAUUCAAGUUACUUCUGAUUGGCGAUUCUGGGGUUGGAAAGUCCUGCCUUCUCCUUAGGUUUGCAGUAAGUUGAAAUUAAAAUACUUUUUACAAAUAAUGGUGUGCUUAGCUAUACAAAUAAUGCAGUGUUUUUUGUUUGUUUUGUUUUAGUUAGACAAAAAAAAUCAAACAAUUUUAUAUAGUUAAUUCUUUCAGAGUUUAUAUAUCAAAGUGCCUAAGUGCUCCCAAAUAAUGCACCCCACCCCCAGUGGUAUCUUGGACUGUUAAAUGUUGUUUUUAAAAGAAAUUCAAGGGAAAGCUGGGUGUGGUAGUGCAUGCCUGUAAUCUUUCCACUUGGGAGGUGAAGGAGGGACAUCACUUUGGGCUUGAAGUCAGUU
This 3584-nucleotide long non-coding RNA is filed under the name Mus musculus (house mouse). RNAcentral describes it as "long non-coding RNA chr11:20212431-20216015". The record is from RNAcentral. Lineage: Eukaryota; Metazoa; Chordata; Mammalia; Rodentia; Muridae.